UUAGGAUUUGGUGUAGCUUGGUAGCACGGAGGUUUUUGGACCCUCAGAGUUAGGUUCGAGUCCUAUAGUCCUAG
This 74-nucleotide transfer RNA is filed under the name Chrotopterus auritus. RNAcentral's name for it is "tRNA-Gln". It matches the Rfam family "tRNA". Rfam says of the family: Transfer RNA (tRNA) molecules are approximately 80 nucleotides in length. Their secondary structure includes four short double-helical elements and three loops (D, anti-codon, and T loops). The record is from RNAcentral. Lineage: Eukaryota; Metazoa; Chordata; Mammalia; Chiroptera; Phyllostomidae.